RNAcentral lists this unclassified non-coding RNA (297 nucleotides) under Hevea brasiliensis (rubber tree). The record is from RNAcentral. Lineage: Eukaryota; Viridiplantae; Streptophyta; Magnoliopsida; Malpighiales; Euphorbiaceae.
GUUGAAGAGAUGUACAAAGAAGAGAUUGGGGAUGCAGAGAUGGACUCUAAUUCUCCUUCUGAAAAUGCAACCAAAGCAACAAAAGGUGACUUGAGAAACUAUGAAGAUGGAGGGGAAGAAAUGCAACAAAGCUCCAGUUCAACAGCAACCGAAAGAUGCAGUGCUGCUGGACAAUUGCUGGAUUCCAAAUCUGAUCAUGUUCCUGAUGUAGAAAUGGGAGGAUCAACUACAAGAAUCAAUUUCCGAAACAUGACACACGGUGGACGCGGUGAGGCUGUUACUGAAUAUGGGUUAUUG